AGUGAAUAGAUACCCCGGUAGUCCACGCUGUAAACGAUGAGUGCUGGACGUUGGCGGGUUUACCUGCCGGUGUCGCAGCUAAACGCGUUAAGCACUCCGCCUGGGGAGUACGGCCGCAAGGUUAAAACUCAAAGGAAUUGACGGGGCCCGCACAAGCGGUGGAGCAUGUGGUUUAAUUCGACGCAACGCGCAGAACCUUACCAGCCCUUGACAUGGGCGGACGGGGUCCAGAGAUGGACUCUUUCUCGCAAGAGACCGCUACACAGGUGCUGCGAUGGCUGUCGUCAGCUCGUGUCGUGAGA
RNAcentral lists this ribosomal RNA (302 nucleotides) under uncultured bacterium. RNAcentral describes it as "bacterial SSU rRNA". It matches the Rfam family "Bacterial small subunit ribosomal RNA", at positions 773 to 1072 of the family's 1533-position model. The record is from RNAcentral.